UUGGCUCAGGAUGAACGCUGGCGGCGCACAUAAGACAUGCAAGUCGAACGGAAGUCGUUAUAAAAAAGAUUGAGGAUUUAUCUGAUUGAAGUUUUAUAACAAUGACUUUAGUGGCGGACUGGUGAGUAAUACAUGAGCAACCUGCCUAUUAGAGGGGAACAACAGUUAGAAAUGACUGCUAAUACCGCAUAUGCCAUAUGAAUCACAUGAUUCAAGUGGGAAAGGAGCAAUCCGCUGAUAGAUGGGCUCAUGGCUGAUUAGCUAGUUGGUAAGGUAAUGGCCUACCAAGGCAACGAUCAGUAGCCGGACUGAGAGGUUAGACGGCCACAUUGGGACUGAGAUACGGCCCAGACUCCUACGGGAGGCAGCAGUGGGGAAUAA
This 381-nucleotide ribosomal RNA is filed under the name uncultured rumen bacterium. RNAcentral's name for it is "bacterial SSU rRNA". It matches the Rfam family "Bacterial small subunit ribosomal RNA", at positions 19 to 364 of the family's 1533-position model. The record is from RNAcentral.